This 517-nucleotide ribosomal RNA is filed under the name uncultured bacterium. Its description in RNAcentral is "bacterial SSU rRNA". It matches the Rfam family "Bacterial small subunit ribosomal RNA", at positions 553 to 1071 of the family's 1533-position model. The record is from RNAcentral.
ACUGGGCGUAAAGGGCACGCAGGCGGUGACUUAAGUGAGGUGUGAAAGCCCCGGGCUUAACCUGGGAAUUGCAUUUCAUACUGGGUCGCUAGAGUACUUUAGGGAGGGGUAGAAUUCCACGUGUAGCGGUGAAAUGCGUAGAGAUGUGGAGGAAUACCGAAGGCGAAGGCAGCCCCUUGGGAAUGUACUGACGCUCAUGUGCGAAAGCGUGGGGAGCAAACAGGAUUAGAUACCCUGGUAGUCCACGCUGUAAACGAUGUCGAUUUGGGGGUUGAGCUUUGAGCUUGGCGCCCGUAGCUAACGUGAUAAAUCGACCGCCUGGGGAGUACGGCCGCAAGGUUAAAACUCAAAUGAAUUGACGGGGGCCCGCACAAGCGGUGGAGCAUGUGGUUUAAUUCGAUGCAACGCGAAGAACCUUACCUACUCUUGACAUCCAGAGAACUUUCCAGAGAUGGAUUGGUGCCUUCGGGAACUCUGAGACAGGUGCUGCAUGGCUGUCGUCAGCUCGUGUCGUGAG